CCUACGGGGGGCUGCAGUGAGGAAUAUUGGUCAAUGGACGAGAGUCUGAACCAGCCAAGUAGCGUGAAGGAUGACUGCCCUAUGGGUUGUAAACUUCUUUUAUAUGGGAAUAAAACGUUCCACGUGUGGGAUUUUGUAUGUACCAUAUGAAUAAGGAUCGGCUAACUCCGUGCCAGCAGCCGCGGUAAUACGGAGGGUCCGAGCGUUAUCCGGAUUUAUUGGGUUUAAAGGGAGCGUAGGUGGGUGGUUAAGUCAGUUGUGAAAGUUUGCGGCUCAACCGUAAAAUUGCAGUUGAAACUGGCAGUCUGGAGUACAGUAGAGGUGGGCGGAAUUCGUGGUGUAGCGGUGAAAUGCUUAGAUAUCACGAAGAACACCGAUUGCGAAGGCAGUUCACUGGACUGCAACUGACACUGAGGCUCGAAAGUGUGGGUAUCAAACAGGAUUAGAUACCCUUGUAGUC
This 460-nucleotide ribosomal RNA is filed under the name uncultured bacterium. RNAcentral's name for it is "partial 16S ribosomal RNA". It matches the Rfam family "Bacterial small subunit ribosomal RNA", at positions 338 to 795 of the family's 1533-position model. The record is from RNAcentral.